Molecule: transfer RNA, 75 nt
Filed under: Acidobacteriota bacterium
Lineage: Bacteria; Pseudomonadati; Acidobacteriota
Description: tRNA-His
Rfam family: tRNA
About the family: Transfer RNA (tRNA) molecules are approximately 80 nucleotides in length. Their secondary structure includes four short double-helical elements and three loops (D, anti-codon, and T loops).
Source: RNAcentral
GUGGUCGAACGCAAAGUGGUUAGCGGGCAGAUUGUGAAUCUGCUGUAACGAGUUCGAAUCUCGUCGAUCACCCCA